UCCGUAGGGGAACCUGCGGAAGGAUCAUUACCGAGUGAGGGCCCUCUGGGUCCAACCUCCCACCCGUGUUUAUCGUACCUUGUUGCUUCGGCGAGCCCGCCUCACGGCCGCCGGGGGGCAUCCGCCCCCGGGCCCGCGCUCGCCGAAGACACCAUUGAACUCUGUCUGAAGAUUGCAGUCUGAGUGAUUAACUAAAUCAGUUAAAACUUUCAACAACGGAUCUCUUGGUUCCGGCAUCGAUGAAGAACGCAGCGAAAUGCGAUAAGUAAUGUGAAUUGCAGAAUUCAGUGAAUCAUCGAGUCUUUGAACGCACAUUGCGCCCCCUGGUAUUCCGGGGGGCAUGCCUGUCCGAGCGUCAUUGCUGCCCUCAAGCACGGCUUGUGUGUUGGGCCCCGCCCCCCGGUUCCGGGGGGCGGACCCGAAAGGCAGCGGCGGCACCGCGUCCGGUCCUCGAGCGUAUGGGGCUUCGUCACCCGCUCUGUAGGCCCGGCCGGCGCCCGCCGGCGACCCCAAUCAAUCUAUCCAGGUUGACCUCGGAUCAGGUAGGGAUACCCGCUGAACUUAAGCAUAUCAAUAAGCGGAGGA
This 585-nucleotide ribosomal RNA is filed under the name Penicillium rolfsii. Its description in RNAcentral is "eukaryotic LSU rRNA". The stretch from base 205 to 358 matches the Rfam family "5.8S ribosomal RNA". Lineage: Eukaryota; Fungi; Ascomycota; Eurotiomycetes; Eurotiales; Aspergillaceae. The record is from RNAcentral.